UACGUAGGGACCAAGCGUUGUUCGGAUUUACUGGGCGUAAAGGGCGCGUAGGCGGCAUGACAAGUCACUUGUGAAAUCUCCGGGCUUAACUCGGAACGGUCAAGUGAUACUGUCGCGCUAGAGUGCGGAAGGGGCAAUCAGAAUUCUUGGUGUAGCGGUGAAAUGCGUAGAUAUCAAGAGGAAUACCUGAGGUGAAGACGGGUUGCUAGGCCGACACUGACGCUGAAGCGCGAAAGCAUGGGGAGCGAACAGG
RNAcentral lists this ribosomal RNA (253 nucleotides) under uncultured bacterium. RNAcentral describes it as "partial 16S ribosomal RNA". It matches the Rfam family "Bacterial small subunit ribosomal RNA", at positions 524 to 776 of the family's 1533-position model. The record is from RNAcentral.